CACCUUCGGGUGUGUAUAAAGUGGCGAACGGCUGAGUAACACGUGGGCAACCUGCCCCUCUCAUUGGGAUAGCCACGGGAAACCGUGGAUAAUACCGAAUACUUCGGGACUUCCGCAUGGAAGACUCGAGAAAGCUCCGGCGGAGAGGGAUGGGCCCGCGGCCUGUUAGCUUGUUGGUGGGGUAACGGCCUACCAAGGCAAUGAUGGGUAGCUGGGUUGAGAGACCGACCAGCCAGAUUGGGACUGAGACACGGCCCAGACUCCUACGGGAGGCAGCAGUGGGGAAUCUUGCACAAUGGGCGAAAGCCUGAUGCAGCGACGCCGCGUGCGGGAUGAAGGCCUUCGGGUUGUAAACCGCUUUCAGCAGGGACGAGGCGAAAGUGACGGUACCUGCAGAAGAAGCCCCGGCUAACUACGUGCCAGCAGCCGCGGUAAUACGUAGGGGGCAAGCGUUAUCCGGAUUCAUUGGGCGUAAAGCGCUCGUAGGCGGUCUGUUAGGUCGGGAGUUAAAUCCGGGGGCUCAACCCCCGUUCGCUCCCGAUACCGGCAGACUUGAGUUUGGUAGGGGAAGGUGGAAUUCCUAGUGUAGCGGUGGAAUGCGCAGAUAUUAGGAAGAACACCAGUGGCGAAGGCGGCCUUCUGGGCCAUAACUGACGCUGAGGAGCGAAAGCUAGGGGAGCAA
This 682-nucleotide ribosomal RNA is filed under the name uncultured Atopobium sp. Its description in RNAcentral is "bacterial SSU rRNA". It matches the Rfam family "Bacterial small subunit ribosomal RNA", at positions 75 to 771 of the family's 1533-position model. The record is from RNAcentral. Lineage: Bacteria; Bacillati; Actinomycetota; Coriobacteriia; Coriobacteriales; Atopobiaceae.